Molecule: ribosomal RNA, 497 nt
Filed under: uncultured bacterium
Lineage: Bacteria
Description: partial 16S ribosomal RNA
Rfam family: Bacterial small subunit ribosomal RNA
Source: RNAcentral
GAUGAACGCUGGCGGCGUGCCUAAUACAUGCAAGUCGAGCGAACGGACGAGAAGCUUGCUUCUCUGAUGUUAGCGGCGGACGGGUGAGUAACACGUGGAUAACCUACCUAUAAGACUGGGAUGACUUCGGGAAACCGGAGCUAAUACCGGAUAAUAUUUUGAACCGCAUGGUUCAAAAGUGAAAGACGGUCUUGCUGUCACUUAUAGAUGGAUCCGCGCUGCAUUAGCUAGUUGGUAAGGUAACGGCUUACCAAGGCAACGAUGCAUAGCCGACCUGAGAGGGUGAUCGGCCACACUGGAACCGAGACACGGUCCAGACUCCUACGGGAGGCAGCAGUAGGGAAUCUUCCGCAAUGGGCGAAAGCCUGACGGAGCAACGCCGCGUGAGUGAUGAAGGUCUUCGGAUCGUAAAACUCUGUUAUUAGGGAAGAACAUAUGUGUAAGUAACUGUGCACAUCUUGACGGUACCUAAUCAGAAAGCCACGGCUAACUACGUG